CCAUUCUGCAAACAUUCAGACAUACGGCGAAAUCCGCUUUAGAACCGACGCCAUUUUUCAAUUUAGAUCUGGGCAUCGCGUUUCGAAAUGUAAUCCUAACCUAGAUAAAUGUAUUCAGCAUGUGAAAUAACCUUAAGUGAGAUACGAUGGAUCGUUCAAAACGAUUAUUAGAUAUGGAAGACGUAAGGGAAAGGACACAAACCUAACCUAAAUAUAAUUGAGAUGACAUAGUGGACGCUAAAACGAAUGUACAAUAGAGUAACACUGGAAUAAUAUCUUGCGGAUGGUCUCGCAAUUACAACAAUUGGAAAAUCGCAAUACUUUUUCCUCCAUGUAAUAUUGGUCCGCACGCACGAUCGGUGACUGCGUUCCAUUUUCAUCGUAAUGGAUGGACCCUUUUGGGUCGGUCCAGGCGAACGAGUCCGGUUAAAGGUUUUCUCCUUAAAGGUUUCUGGUCGUGACCGUGUCUGGAUAUCACAACGGGGCUACCAUUGAAAAACUUCUAACGAGUAUAUAUUGUGAAACCGUGCGAGCAGAAGUAAAGCAAGUCGCAAGCCGUUUCAUAAAUGAUGAAAUGCGAACGAAAAUGCUCGGAAGAAUUUCUUCUUCCUUAUUUGAAACGCGGCCAAUAAUUAAUUGUUUGCUCACAUGUAUUGGAAAUCCUCUAAUACGAAUAGCGUGGCAAUUAAAAUUUAAAAAUAAAAUAUUUUAUCAUGUUUAAAUCAUAAAAUAUAACUGCUUUCCACCGUUUGACAUUUAAA
Molecule: long non-coding RNA, 761 nt
Organism: Bombus pascuorum
Lineage: Eukaryota; Metazoa; Arthropoda; Insecta; Hymenoptera; Apidae
Exons: 3
Source: RefSeq, a predicted model, not a curated record